Molecule: long non-coding RNA, 282 nt
Organism: Zingiber officinale
Lineage: Eukaryota; Viridiplantae; Streptophyta; Magnoliopsida; Zingiberales; Zingiberaceae
Exons: 3
Source: RefSeq, a predicted model, not a curated record
UUUUAAUUUAUAAGUUAACCCUAAAUCUCCUCCCACCCAUCUGCCCCUUCACUCAUCCCUUCACUGCAACUCUUGCGGCGGCUGAUUCCUUCCCGAUCGGCUGCGGCACAGGUUUCAAUUUGGCAUGAUCUCAGUGUAGUUGAAGACAACUGUAUUUGUUCACGUCUUUUCGGUAAAAUGCAGAAUGAGCGAAGUUGGAUGUAUAACAAGAAUUCAAGUAUAAUGCAGAAUGAGGAAGAGGAGGAGGAGGAGGAGGAGGAGGGUGAUAAUCAUAAUGAUGAC